This 336-nucleotide ribosomal RNA is filed under the name uncultured bacterium. RNAcentral's name for it is "bacterial SSU rRNA". It matches the Rfam family "Bacterial small subunit ribosomal RNA", at positions 32 to 361 of the family's 1533-position model. The record is from RNAcentral.
AAUCAACGCUGGCGGCGUGCCUAACACAUGCAAGUCGAACGAGAAAGUCCCCGCAAGGGGAUGAGUAAAGUGGCGACCGGGUGAGUAACACGUGACUAACCUACCCUGAAGCGGGGAAUAACCUCGGGAAACCGGGGCUAAUACCGCAUACCUUCCAGAGGGGAAGCUCCUCUGGAGGAAACGAGCAAUCGGCUUUAGGAGGGGGUCGCGCCCGAUUAGGUAGUUGGCGGGGUAACGGCCCACCAAGCCUUUGAUCGGUAGCCGGCCUGAGAGGGCGCACGGCCACACUGGAACUGAAACACGGUCCAGACUCCUACGGGAGGCAGCAGUGGGGAA